GAUGAACGCUGGCGGCGUGCCUAAUACAUGCAAGUCGAGCGAACAGACGAGGAGCUUGCUCCUCUGACGUUAGCGGCGGACGGGUGAGUAACACGUGGAUAACCUACCUAUAAGACUGGGAUAACUUCGGGAAACCGGAGCUAAUACCGGAUAAUAUAUUUAACCGCAUGGUUCAAUAGUGAAAGACGGUUUUGCUGUCACUUAUAGAUGUAUCCGCUCCGCAUUAGCUAGUUGGUAAGGUAACGGCUUACCAAGGCAAGGAUGCGUAGCCGACCUGAGAGGGUGAUCGGCAACACUGGAACUGAGACACGGUCAAGACUCCUACGGGAGGCAGCAGUAGGGAAUCUUCCGAAAUGGGCGAAAGCCUGACGAAGCAACGCCGCGUGAGUGAUGAAGGUCUUCGGAUCGUAAAACUCUGUUAUUAGGGAAGAACAAAUGUGUAAGUAAAUAUGCACGUCUUGACGGUACCUAAUCAGAAAGCCACGGCUAACUACGUG
This 497-nucleotide ribosomal RNA is filed under the name uncultured bacterium. RNAcentral describes it as "partial 16S ribosomal RNA". It matches the Rfam family "Bacterial small subunit ribosomal RNA", at positions 28 to 507 of the family's 1533-position model. The record is from RNAcentral.